UCUCGAUCCAAUUCCAAUUUU
Molecule: non-coding RNA, 21 nt
Filed under: Caenorhabditis elegans
Lineage: Eukaryota; Metazoa; Nematoda; Chromadorea; Rhabditida; Rhabditidae
Source: RNAcentral